RNAcentral lists this ribosomal RNA (443 nucleotides) under uncultured bacterium. RNAcentral's name for it is "partial 16S ribosomal RNA". It matches the Rfam family "Bacterial small subunit ribosomal RNA", at positions 338 to 795 of the family's 1533-position model. The record is from RNAcentral.
CCUACGGGUGGCAGCAGUGGGGAAUAUUGGGCAAUGGAGGCAACUCUGACCCAGCAACGCCGCGUGAAUGAUGAAGGUCUUCGGAUUGUAAAGUUCUGUGAUGGGGGAUGAACACAAUGACGGUACCCCAAUAGCAAGCCACGGCUAACUACGGGCCAGCAGCCGCGGUAAUAAGUAGGUGGCAAGCGUUAGCCGGAAUGACUGGGCGUAAAGGGGGCGUAGGUGGUUUAGUAAGUUGGCGGUGCAAUUCAGGGGCUCAACAUCGGCGCUACAGCUAAGACUAUUAGACUAGAGUGCAGGAGAGGGAAGUAGAAUUCCUGGUGUAGCGGUGAAAUGCGUAGAUAUUAGGAGGAACAUCGGGGGCGAAGGCGACUUACUGGACUGUAACUGACGCUGAGGCACGAAAGCGUGGGGAGCAAACAGGAUUAGAUACCCGAGUAGUC